This 520-nucleotide ribosomal RNA is filed under the name uncultured bacterium. Its description in RNAcentral is "bacterial SSU rRNA". It matches the Rfam family "Bacterial small subunit ribosomal RNA", at positions 120 to 674 of the family's 1533-position model. The record is from RNAcentral.
GGGAAUCUACCGUGCCCUGCGGAAUAGCUCCGGGAAACUGGAAUUAAUACCGCAUACGCCCUACGGGGGAAAGAUUUAUCGGGGUAUGAUGAGCCCGCGUUGGAUUAGCUAGUUGGUGGGGUAAAGGCCUACCAAGGCGACGAUCCAUAGCUGGUCUGAGAGGAUGAUCAGCCACAUUGGGACUGAGACACGGCCCAAACUCCUACGGGAGGCAGCAGUGGGGAAUAUUGGACAAUGGGCGCAAGCCUGAUCCAGCCAUGCCGCGUGAGUGAUGAAGGCCUUAGGGUUGUAAAGCUCUUUCACCGGAGAAGAUAAUGACGGUAUCCGGAGAAGAAGCCCCGGCUAACUUCGUGCCAGCAGCCGCGGUAAUACGAAGGGGGCUAGCGUUGUUCGGAAUUACUGGGCGUAAAGCGCACGUAGGCGGGUAUUUAAGUCAGGGGUGAAAUCCCAGAGCUCAACUCUGGAACUGCCUUUGAUACUGGGUAUCUUGAGUAUGGAAGAGGUAAGUGGAAUUGCGAGU